Molecule: ribosomal RNA, 301 nt
Filed under: uncultured bacterium
Lineage: Bacteria
Description: partial 16S ribosomal RNA
Rfam family: Bacterial small subunit ribosomal RNA
Source: RNAcentral
CAGCAGCCGCGGUAAUACGUAGGUGGCAAGCGUUGUCCGGAAUUAUUGGGCGUAAAGGGCUCGCAGGCGGUUUCUUAAGUCUGAUGUGAAAGCCCCCGGCUCAACCGGGGAGGGUCAUUGGAAACUGGAGACUUGAGUGCAGAAGAGGAGAGUGGAAUUCCACGUGUAGCGGUGAAAUGCGUAGAGAUGUGGAGGAACACCAGUGGCGAAGGCGACUCUCUGGUCUGUAACUGACGCUGAGGAGCGAAAGCGUGGGGAGCGAACAGGAUUAGAUACCCCCGUAGUCCCUGUCUCUUAUACA